This 465-nucleotide ribosomal RNA is filed under the name uncultured bacterium. Its description in RNAcentral is "bacterial SSU rRNA". It matches the Rfam family "Bacterial small subunit ribosomal RNA", at positions 917 to 1382 of the family's 1533-position model. The record is from RNAcentral.
GGGCCCGCACAAGCGGUGGAGCAUGUGGUUCAAUUCGACGCAACGCGAAGAACCUUACCUGGGCUAGACAACGGCGGACCGUCCUAGAAAUAGGAUUUUCCCUUCGGGGACUGCCGGUUCAGGUGCUGCAUGGCUGUCGUCAGCUCGUGCCGUGAGGUGUUGGGUUAAGUCCCGCAACGAGCGCAACCCUUGUCCUUAGUUGCCACCAUUCAGUUGGGCACUCUAGGGAGACUGCCGGCGUUAAGCCGGAGGAAGGUGGGGACGACGUCAAGUCAUCAUGGCCCUUAUGUCCAGGGCCACACACGUGCUACAAUGGGCGGUACAAAGGGUCGCAAACCCGCGAGGGGGAGCCAAUCCCAAAAAGCCGCUCUCAGUUCGGAUUGGAGUCUGCAACUCGACUCCAUGAAGUUGGAAUCGCUAGUAAUCGCGGAUCAGCACGCCGCGGUGAAUACGUUCCCGGGCCUU